Molecule: ribosomal RNA, 253 nt
Filed under: uncultured bacterium
Lineage: Bacteria
Description: partial 16S ribosomal RNA
Rfam family: Bacterial small subunit ribosomal RNA
Source: RNAcentral
UACGAGUGCCCCAAGCGUUAUCCGGAAUCAUUGGGCGUAAAGGGUGUGUAGGCGGUUUGGUUAGUCUUCUGUCAAAUUCUUCGGCUCAACCGGGGGCUCGCAGAGGAAACGGCCAAACUAGAGGAUGUGAGAGGUGAAUGGAACUCAUGGUGUAGGGGUGAAAUCCGUUGAUAUCAUGGGGAACACCAAAUGCGAAGGCAAUUCACUGGCGCAUUCCUGACGCUGAAACACGAAAGCGUGGGUAGCGAAUGGG